This 92-nucleotide transfer RNA is filed under the name Dialister invisus. RNAcentral describes it as "tRNA-Ser". It matches the Rfam family "tRNA". From Rfam's summary of the family: Transfer RNA (tRNA) molecules are approximately 80 nucleotides in length. The record is from RNAcentral. Lineage: Bacteria; Bacillati; Bacillota; Negativicutes; Veillonellales; Veillonellaceae. RNAcentral also lists the same sequence under 4 other names.
GGAGAGUUGUCCGAGUGGUUGAAGGAGCACGCCUGGAAAGCGUGUGUACGGUGAACGCUGUACCGAGAGUUCGAAUCUCUCACUCUCCGCCA